CAGCAGAAAUCAGUUUGAAAGAAACCUUGACAAUAAAGCAGACAGAGGAGAAUUGGGAUGGAAAAAUAUGAAGAAGAGUAAGGAGAAAUUAAAGAAUAAUAUGGUAGUGUUGGAUGAAUAUCUGAGGACAGACUGUGGAAGAACAUGUUACAACAUACUUCUGAAGUAAAUGUUUUGGCAAUAGGUAUAAGAGAAAGUUGGAUAGUUCUGGAAAAUACCAGCAAACAAUACUAGGAAAAUACAAAAUAAUAAAUAGAGAAGGAGAAGCGGCGCAGUCUCGCGAGAAUAAGAUACUGUGAAGAACUUUGAGAUUCUGCAUAAAGCUGGAGGAAGAAGAAGAAAACCACACAUAAAUAUAUGAGAAUAGUUCUUUCAAGACAUGAGGUAUUCUGGUGAAAAAAUAUUACUUCAAAAUAUUUUAUUUUUAAAAAAUUCUGAUU
Corvus hawaiiensis (hawaiian crow) is the source of this 440-nucleotide long non-coding RNA. RefSeq lists it as uncharacterized. NCBI's taxonomy places the organism in Eukaryota, Metazoa, Chordata, Aves, Passeriformes, Corvidae. The record is from RefSeq and is a predicted model, not a curated record. The transcript is spliced from 3 exons.